AUGGCAGGCAGCAGGAACAUAGAAAAGCAAUAAAGAGAAGAACUGAAAGAACUGACAGAAUACAGAAAUAAUCUCAAGAAGGUUGGAAUUUCUUCAGAAAACAAGAAGGAAGUGGAGAAGAAAGUGGCUGUGAAACCCAUAGAAACCAAGAACAAGUUCUCCCAGGCAAAGCUGUUGGCAGGAGCUGUGAAGCAUAAGAGCUCAGAGAGUGGCAACAGUGUGAAAGACUGAAACCGGCCCCUGACCCAGAUGACAAGAAUCAAGAGGCCUCGUCCUGCAAGUCUCUUGGGAACACUUCCCUGAGCGGCCCCUCCAUCCACUGCCCCUUGGCCGCAGUCUGCAUUGGCAUCCUCCCAGGCUUGGGUGCCUACUCUGGGAGCAGCGACUCUGAAUCCAGCUCAGACAGUGAAGACACCAUCAACGCCACUGGGAAGAUCGUCUCCUCCAUCUUCCGAACCAACACCUUCCUCGAGGCUCCCUAGCUCCUCUGUCCUCCCCAGAAAGAGCUGCUCCCCAAGGGUAGAUCGGACCAUUCAUUCUGCCUCCAGGCAUCGUAUCUCUCAAAAAACUCCUUUGCCUGCUUCCUGUGUACUGUGACAUUUUUACCCUAAUCUAAAAAUGUGCC
This is an RNA transcript of Propithecus coquereli (Coquerel's sifaka), 625 nucleotides long. It is a transcript of the gene named protein FAM192A pseudogene, with no coding region annotated. The transcript has 2 exons. The record is from RefSeq and is a predicted model, not a curated record. NCBI's taxonomy places the organism in Eukaryota, Metazoa, Chordata, Mammalia, Primates, Indriidae.